This 618-nucleotide long non-coding RNA is filed under the name Bos indicus x Bos taurus (hybrid cattle). Its description in RNAcentral is "lncRNA (ENSBIXG00000025015.1)". The record is from RNAcentral. Lineage: Eukaryota; Metazoa; Chordata; Mammalia; Artiodactyla; Bovidae.
AAACCGAGGUCUCCGGGAGAGGAAGUUAUUCUAACUUUUUUGGAAACCCUAGCCGGGCUGGGUUGCUAAAUAGUUGUCAGUAGCGAGGGCGGCGCGCUGAUUGGUCGCCGCGACCGGGGGCAGGACGAGUUCUGGGGCCUCCGCCGGCCGCCCCCGCCCCCCGGCGCGGCACUUUCAGUUUUGCCUCCCCCUUCGGCCCCGGCCGCGGCGGGCACCCGGGACUGCCCGGCCUUCGCGCGCGCCGCCCGCGCCUCCGCCCCGGGCUCUGACCGCUCUCCGGCCGUGCCGCGGGCUCAGCCGAUCCCGCUUUGUCUGCUCCUUAACUGGAGAUCGGGCCCCGCCGAGCUGCGGGGUCUCUCCCGCGGCGCGAGGGGUACGGGAGGCAAGUCCUACCCUAGAUGCGCUCCCAGGAGAGGGGAGGGAAGGCGUCACUUUUCUGGUGCGGAACCCAGCAGCCCGGGGGGCUGGCAGAGGUGGCGGUGACAGUCGCUCCCUGAUUCCAGCCGGGUUCUGGAGCCAGUUUUCCUGAUACGGUGAGUCAAGGGCUCCACUCUGCACCACAGUUUGCAAGUCAGUCCAAAGCGCUCUACGUAGAAUCUGUCAUCAGUCCCACUGCAA